GUAGGUGGCAAGCGUUGUCCGGGAAUUAUUGGGGCGUAAAGCGCGCGCAGGCGGUUCUUUUAAGUCUGAUGUGAAAAGCCCACGGGCUCAACCGUGGGAGGGUCAUUGGAAGCUGGAGAACUUGAGUACAGAAGAGGAAAGCGGAAUUCCACGUGUAGCGGUGAAAUGCGUAGAGAUGUGGAGGAACACCAGUGGCGAAGGCGGCUUUCUGGUCUGUAACUGACGCUGAGGCGCGAAAGCGUGGGGAGCAAACAGGAUUAGAUACCCUGGUAGUCCACGCCGUAAACGAUGAGUGCUAAGUGUUAGGGGGUUUCCGCCCCUUAGUGCUGCAGCUAACGCAUUAAGCACUCCGCCUGGGGAGUACGGCCGCAAAGGCUGA
RNAcentral lists this ribosomal RNA (379 nucleotides) under uncultured organism. Its description in RNAcentral is "partial 16S ribosomal RNA". It matches the Rfam family "Bacterial small subunit ribosomal RNA", at positions 527 to 897 of the family's 1533-position model. The record is from RNAcentral.